GCCCCCGGGAUCCGAGCGGCUGGCCGGAGGCCAGGCCUGCCGGACGCAGGCUUCAGCUCAGCCCGGCCACCCUCCCCAGUCGGCUCGGUGGUCUGGCUAGGGCCGUGCAGUCUGUGUGACCCCGGACAAGUCCCUUAACCUCUCCGAGUCUGUUUCAUUCUCGAUCUUCACUUAUCAGCAAGCAACAGGAGGCCCAAUGACAUUACUGGGUGAUAUCUUGACUCUUUCGCGAAUUGGAUUUAAGUGAGGUAGAGCUGGAGAAAGCCAUCAGCCUCACUCUCCCAGAAUCAUCCCAGUCCAGUGGCAUGACAAAAGUCAGGACAAACAGUGAUGGCCCAGGACGGCCUCAGUGGAUAGAUGUCUGGGAUGUCUGACCAACCUCUAAGCACUCCACCUGCUUCAGCCAUCUUCAUGGUUGCUGAAACAAGCUGUUCUCACGUGCCCAUUCCACCUGGCGAAGUCUUCAUGUGCUUAGGGUAGAUACUGGCCUAACUCAAGGCCUGUGGUCACCCUCAUGUUUUGUGCCUGAGGGCAUGAGGAGCCUCAGGGGUUUCUGUAGUUCUCUCAAGCACACAAUAAUAAAGAAUAAAAACUGUUUCGGGCAGACUAA
Phascolarctos cinereus (koala) is the source of this 610-nucleotide non-coding RNA. The record is from RefSeq and is a predicted model, not a curated record. NCBI's taxonomy places the organism in Eukaryota, Metazoa, Chordata, Mammalia, Diprotodontia, Phascolarctidae.